Molecule: ribosomal RNA, 305 nt
Filed under: uncultured bacterium
Lineage: Bacteria
Description: partial 16S ribosomal RNA
Rfam family: Bacterial small subunit ribosomal RNA
Source: RNAcentral
ACAGCAGCAGCCGCGGUAAUACGGAGGGAGCUAGCGUUAUUCGGAAUUACUGGCGUAAAGCGCACGUAGGCGGCUUUGUAAGUUAGAGGUGAAAGCCCAGAGCUCAACUCUGGAAUUGCCUUUAAGACUGCAUCGCUUGAAUCCAGGAGAGGUGAGUGGAAUUCCGAGUGUAGAGGUGAAAUUCGUAGAUAUUCGGAAGAACACCAGUGGCGAAGGCGGCUCACUGGACUGGUAUUGACGCUGAGGUGCGAAAGCGUGGGGAGCAAACAGGAUUAGAUACCCGUGUAGUCCCUGUCUCUUAUACC